RNAcentral lists this long non-coding RNA (4625 nucleotides) under Oryza sativa (Asian cultivated rice). RNAcentral's name for it is "long non-coding RNA (OSAT_LNC000278)". Lineage: Eukaryota; Viridiplantae; Streptophyta; Magnoliopsida; Poales; Poaceae. The record is from RNAcentral.
CCCGCAACAUCUUCUCCCCUCUCCUUCCUCUGGCGGCGGCGAGGCGGAGGGCGGCGGCGCGAAGUGGUCAGCCAGAGCACGGUGCCGGCGGCGAUGGAGAUUCGCCGGAGGCUCCAUCGGCUCGGCUCGCACGACGCCUGGUGACAUUUUCUUCCCCCUCUUCUUUUUUUUUUCUUUUUGAAUUUUCAUAGGAAGUCACAAAGUCCGCGUUCGUCGCGUUAUUAUGGAGUUAGCGUAGAACUGCAUCUCGGAUGGGUUAGGGUCUAUGCGGAUUCUCUUUGCGAAUGUGGCUUAAGACCGAAAUUUGGUUAGAUAUGAGAAGAGCAGUAGUGGAAUGAUUUAUCUUCUCUUUGUUUAAAAAUGAGGGAGUAUUUCGCAAGCCUAUGCAUAUCUUAGCAAACAGAAGAUACUAUGAGAAAAACACAUCUUAAGAUGUAUUGCACAUAAAUUACAGACAUGUUCUUAUGGCCUAUCGAUAAACCCACAUUUCUCGAUUAAAUGUGACAGAAAUCUUAAACAUGGCCAGAAUAUGUAUAAUUUUGUGAAAUGUGCAGGUUUAUGGUACUUUUAUAAAGUUAGCAUGUUUUGUGAAAUGCAUGCAUUUGAGUUUGCUUCCUACUAUUUUCUAGAAAGAUUUUUUUUCUAGAUUGCAUCCUACAGAUAAAUAUAUGAUUAAGAAACUCUUCUUUCAAUCUCAAAAUAAUUUAGGAGAAAUGAAUUAGAAAAAUUUGUUGUACAUGUACAUACUGUACUAAGCACAACUAUUUUUAUGCUUUUGUUUACCAUACAUUUUUUACAGGAUUUUGACUUCUUUAUUUGAUCAUAGUACAAGUUUAAUUUUACCAAUUUAUUGUGAGUGAAGUUGAUUUUUUUACUCGGUGGGACCAUACUACUACACAUGUUUUCCCAGUUGCAGGUGGGUCCUAGUCCCACAUAUUGAAUUCCAUCACAUUAAAAUGCUCUGACAAAGUAUGUGUAGCUCUAGACUGCUAAUAAGUGCAAUUGUGCAAACUGCAAUAUGUAUUAGUACUAUGUAAUUUUUAGUAGUUAUGUUCCGCAAAAUUUACUUGGGUGUAAAUGCCAGAAAGUCGGAAUGAUAUUGAGUAUGGUGCAGAGAGAGUUUUAUGCUAUCUUACUUUUUUUGUUAGGAGUUUUAUCCAUUUUUCUGUCCAUGUUAAAUAACCAAAUUGAAGAUAUUGUCAAGACGAGUUCUGUUUCAAUAAAAGAAGACAAAACAGCCACUCUUUCAAUUUGUUGUGAACACUGAAAACACAAGCAAACGCUAGACAUACUAGCAUCAUAUAAAAAGAAAAAGAAAAAUACAGGCAUCAGCCAAUAAUCUCUUCUUAGAAACGUAUUUCUUGGAUACGAUGCAAUUUUGUUUUCCAGUUGUCUCGUUCCCACUCUACCUUGAGUUCAUGGUGUUGCAUCGUGACAUUGAGCUUCUUGAGGGAUGCAAGAAGCUCCAAACCUUUAGGAACCUCCCUGAGGGAUGGGAGCGACAGCAGAAGCAGCACUUCCAGCCUAAUAAUGGCCCCUUCCUCAAUGACUAGCCUUCUCAACUCCUCCAAUUUUCCCAACCAAAGAGUCCUCAGCUGAGGAAACCAUCCUGCACGGAGAAUUAUGUCCUCAGCCCAACAUCCCCUGCGUAUGCUCAAAAAUAUCAGAUUUGGCACGCUUGAUGAUAUUGAUGGGAGUGGAUUGGUGUCAUUUUUGCAAAAUGUCAGUGUCAGGUACUUGAUAUUUGCACCAUACUCACAGAACACUGGUCUUCGGAAUGUCUCAUUGUCCCAGCAUCCUCUGAUUGUGAGCUUCUCUAGCUUUGUACAUAUAGGAUUGAAAGCAUUAAAAUCCAGAGGUUCAUUCAGAUCGUUGGCGCUGAUGACCAAGUCAUAAAGGUGGUUCAUAUUUGAUAAGGAAGAAAACAGUGUUGCACAGUCAGCACGACAAACAUUCUCGACACACAGAAGCCUCAGCUCAGGCAAGUAUUUCAGUAGCUUCACCGAUUCCUUGGUUGCUUCAACAGUCUGGAGAGUCUGCAGCUGUGCCAAAUCAAAAGCACAGUCAGGCAAUUUCACACCACGGAAGUAACGCAAUUGCCUCUCUUCUGGGUCAUACAAUUGCUCUGCAAAGAUGUGCCUCAGCUUCUUUAAUUUAGCUACCUCUCUUGGGAGCCUUUCAAUGUUAGUUGAUUUCAAGUCCAGAGUUUCCAAAUUGGUGAGCUUUUUAAUUGAUAUUGGUAGGGACUUAAUACGUGUCCUCCUUAAGCCAAGAUAGCGCAAGUUGAACAAGUCCCCAAUAUUUUCUGGAAUCUUGUCCAAGGGUGAGUCUCGUAGUUCUAGAACAGCAAGGUAUUUACACCUGGAAAUUAGUAAGGUUAACAACUGAUAAUUAGCAACUCUGUUGGCUGCAAUGAAUGUCCGGAGACGAGGAAGGUCCAUGCUUGAUUUUAUCAGCUGAUUCACCUGAUCAAAGUUUGACACUAACAGCCGGCGAACAUCAUCCUUCUUUUGAGUUUCAAGGUUUAUGUCCGCCAGACCAAAUCUUUCCUUCCUAGAAAAGGAGAGUGCUAAUUCCCUCAUAAUGUCAUGCAUCCUGCAGCUUACCACUCUACCAAUCUCAUCGUUCUCAACAAGUUGCAUCAUGCUUUGUUGGAUCAGCUCAGUGAAGUAGCCGUCUGCAACCUCCUCCAAUGUACUCUGACCUCGCUGUAUUACAAAGCCCUCUACUAUCCAUAGCUUGAUAAGAAGCUCACGCUUGAAAAUAUAAUCUUGCGGGAACAUACUGCAAUAUAAAAAACAAUUCUUGAGAUGCCUUGGCAGGUACAUGAAGCUUAUGCUCAGUGCGCUCCUUACUUUGUCUAGGCCAGGGUUGUCCUCCAAUUCACACUUGAAUUGAUUGUUUAUUCUUCUCCAUACUAUCUCUUUUGAUUCCUGUACAGCCAAUACAUUUCCUAUUGCAUUAAUUGCCAACGGCAAGCCUCCACACUUAUUUACAAUCUGCCUAGACAAUUCCUCCAAAUGAGAGGGGCACUCCAUAUUGCUUUUCUGGAAGCACCUUCUAUGAAAGAGUUCAAAUGCAUCAUCAUUGCCUAGUGGAUUAAGCUUCAUCUUGUACAUUUCUUGAGCCAAUGAAGCAACGUCAUUAUUCCUGGUUGUGAUUAUUAUCCUACUUCCUUUCUUAUCAUCCAUCAAUGAGUCAGAUAGCUCAUGGAAAGCUCUAGUAUCCCAUACAUCAUCGAGUACAAUCAAGUAUUUCUUAUUUGACAAAACCUCCUUUAACUCAUCAUUCAGCUUACCAUGGUGCAUAGUGUCAAGAUCAGUGGGGAUUUUGCUUUGGUCCUCGCUCAGCUCUUGAAUCAACUGCCUUAAUAUAGCAUUGAUGUUAUAGUUAUGUGAUACUGCAAUCCAUGAAUAACAGUCAAAGCUCUUCAUUCCCUUCUCCCAAUCAUAAACCUUCCUGACUAGGGUUGUUUUACCCAAUCCACCAAAACCCCAUAUUGAUAUUACUGUUCGAUCUAACUCCUUGGGAUCUAGCCAUCUGCCAAGCAGCUCCAUGUCUUCUUUCAUCCCAACAAUGUCAUCUCCUUUAACGGCAUGAGGAGAACCAUUAGAUGACAGGAGAUGAAUAUGAGCACUAUCACUAGUGUUGUCAAGUAAUUCAUUGAACAUUUCUCGAUAAUCCCUUUUCAGCUGUGACAAGUGCUUGAUCUCUUCCUCGAUAUCUUUAAGCUCAAUAGCGAUGCGAUGAAAAGCAGUUGGAUAGAAGAACUUGUGUAUUAACCUUUUAAAAUGGUUUUCAUGUUCAAGAGCUAUGUUAUAGCUGUACUCAUCUGUUAUGUCCUCAACACGGUAAGCGACCUUCCGCACCCUUACUAUCCAGCCUUCAAGAACUUUAUUGCUGUAGAUUUUUGUUCCAACCUGGCUCAAGAAAUGAUGGAUCAUGUCUAAUUCCCUCUCGAUGUGCUUUGCAGUGUAUGGUAGAUCUGGGAGCCGUGCGGGUUCUUUCUCUAGGUAAGUCCUUAGUGAUGAUACUCCAAAAGAGGUAACAAGCUUGCCGAGAGCUAGGACUACUGCUGCCUCUGCCAUUGUCUGUCUUCACUUACUGACUGAUGUGUUACUUCUUGUGGAUAUGCAAGAUUAACCGGUAAGAGCUCCUUUUCUUUUAGCCUGUUGAACAAAAUAUGAUAUCCCAGCUUUAUUGUCUGUCUUAGUGAGGCACUGAAAAUUUGAAAUGAACAUGGUGGUGUAUGUUAAUGCUGGUUGGUACUACUUGCUAAUUUCCGUUUUAGUACGCCAAGCUAUGUAUUUCAUUAACUAGGAAUUUGAUGACUUUCGGUAUAUUUCUUGGCAUCUUGCUACCGGCAUAUUUGCUACUAAAUUUUAUUUUGAGUGGUUCAAAAAAAAUUAUCUUUUCGGAGAUUUUUUUUCAGUAACCGGAUGAGGUACAUAUGAGCUAUUAAGAUUUGCAGGACCACAUGCUUUUUUUUUUGAGUAAAAGAUCACAUGCCUGUUGAUGAUGCGCAGUUGCAGAUAUGAUCCUUUGGGACAGGAGGGGAAGAGAGAAGAAUCCUCUGCGAUCUGAACGGUCUCCCCUGCUCCACUGGAAAAUAAGCUCGUGAAGAA